This is a small nucleolar RNA of Amphilophus citrinellus (Midas cichlid), 81 nucleotides long. Lineage: Eukaryota; Metazoa; Chordata; Actinopteri; Cichliformes; Cichlidae. The record is from Ensembl.
CCCUCUUACACAUGAUGACAUAAUGUUGCUAGGGACAUCUGAGUCGAUGUGACGAAAAGGCAACAUUCCUGACAACAUGGG